Molecule: long non-coding RNA, 5249 nt
Organism: Micropterus salmoides (largemouth bass)
Lineage: Eukaryota; Metazoa; Chordata; Actinopteri; Centrarchiformes; Centrarchidae
Exons: 2
Source: RefSeq, a predicted model, not a curated record
UGGGGUAGUAAGGUACUAUGAGCUCUUUAAGAUAAGGUGGUGCCUGACCAUUAAGAGCUUUGUAGGUAAGAAGAAUGAUUUUAAAUUCUAUUCUGGAUUUUACAGGAAGGGCCUGCAUCUUUGAAGGCACACUUCCUGAUUCCAGCAGGUGGCGCUAGGAGGUGAAGUGAAUUUUGACUUGUAGAUGUGUUUAGGGCGUGACCCUUAUCAAAUAUAUUAAAUUUGGUAGAGAUAUGAGCAUGUACAGCGAAGUUACAACAACUUCCUGUGUCAUAGCGAAGCAUUGAACUUUGACGCCACGCCAAAGACACGCCGUUAUCCGAAAACUCAAGCAUCAUCAAUGUCUUAAGGCUCUUCUGAGGCACGGGCUCCCCCCCAAACCCGCCACCGAUUACAGUAGUAAAACAUCAAACAUGUAAGCUGAACUCUUGCUAAGGGACAUCGAUAUAGUAUCAGUUGAAAAGUGAAAAUACUCCCUAACAUGUUUCAUGUUUCACAUGAAAUGUUGAAAAGUCAUUAUGCAGUGUGUUUCUGUGUGCAGCAGUAUUUUCACUUUCUACCUCACACUUAGAGCCAAAAUUGUUUUAAGAGUGCCUUGUUUGCUGCUCUGAUAUACAUCUAGUUUAAACACAGAAGAAUGUGCGCACAUCCAAACCAUCCUGUGGGUAAGUGCUGAAAUAAAGAAUGACCUGCAAUGAGUAUUAUUUGUAUUAUUAUGAAUCCAACUAGGUGGUAACCAAUCUGCUGAAAUACAGCAGAAUCCACAGUGUCUGCUGUCCGAGAGCAUGUUAGCCUCGAUAAGAGGGCAUGUUUUAGCAGUACUGUAGAAGGUGUGACGACAAGCCUGUCAAUAUUUAAACAUGUACUGCAGCAAAAUACUUUUCUAAGCCUAAAUCUAAGACAAAGUGUCUAGUUUAUUUAUCGGUAGGAUUAUCGAGAGGAACUUCAAUAGUUACAAUUAGUUAACAAACAUCAUCAAACAAAUGACAUUUAAGCAUACAAACGCAGCAUCCAAAACACAACAGAGUAAAAAAGUAGCGAAUUAUUUGAAAUAGUUUUUACAAAAAUACAGUGACUGAUAAGUGUUGGGAAGCACAGAGAAGUCAGUGCUAACUUUGGGGCUAACCUCCUUCACUUUAUUCAACAGUUAGCAGCAACACACGGGAGCGGGAGCUCCUCUUUAGUCCUGUGAAGCUGCAGUCUUUAUUCACCAGCCACUGUAACUUGUACUGUACAUUUACUGCUGAACAAGGAGCUGACCGUUUCUCUCUAUUCACCGGGGCUCCGUUCAGACACACGCGCUUCGUCUAUUUCUCCUCUUCCACACACACACUGACCACUGCGGCAAAGCUAACAUAGCUAAUCAGCCGGGACCAUCACAAACAUGACAACAGACACACAAGACAGUAAUACUGAAGCUGUCGUUUAUGUGGAACAGCAAAGCUAACUUUACUCACCUGUCAAGCAGAAACAGAGCAACCUCAGCAUCAAUUUUCCUUCCUUUCAAAUCUUGUAGAUUUAUCCAGCAUUGAAACCCCUCACAGAUGUUAACACAGGUCUUCCCCUCGCCUGUAGGGCUGAACGAUUUUGGAAAAUUCAUUAAUUCAUAGCUUUCUUCUAUUGCCAAUAUUUAUUUAUUUAUUUAUUUAACAGGAACAAUGCACAAUAUAUGUACUGUACCAGAUUUAGCUAAAAGCUCAUUUCCAUCUGCAGUCCCUGGGCAGAUGCCAAUAGCGUGCAAAAUAUUACAAAAAAAAAAAAAAAAAAAGAUAUAAUCCCAAAACCAAACCUUACAUUUCAUAAAUAUAUAGAUAACUGCCAACCAAUUCAAAAAAGCCACAUCUUACGGAAGCGUCUUGAUGCCAUGGCAGAAAGAGAAAAGCAGAUCAGUAUCAUGUUAUAACAUGAAAAGUUUGUUGUUAUAACAACAUAUUUUUCACGUUAUAACAUGAUAAGUUUAUUGUUAUAACAAUAUGUUUUUUACGUUAUUACAACAUAAAAACAUAUCACGUUAUUACAAGAACAGUUCCUUGUUAUAUCAAUAUAUAUUUAUCUUUAAACUGUUUGUUAUAAUGUGGGUGGAGGUGGAUUUCCCAGGAUGAACUGGCAUGACAAUGGCCCGCAACACGGAUACCCCACUGUUGAAAUUUCUACGAAAUCGCGGUUUAUCAGAAGAGUGCCUCUCACACAUGGAACAAGAACAUAUUGAUGCCACAGUCAUUGACAUAAUGGAUGAUGACACUCUUGCUGGCUACAUUCCAGCAUAUGGAGAUCGAAUAGCAGCAAGACGGUUCUGUUUGGAAAAUAAAGGUACAAGUACAAAAGAAUCCAGGAAACAUUCCCUGCUUGAAAAACUAAAGAAAAAGAUGGGCAUUGAUGGAAAUGAUGAUAAGAACACUGACCAAGAGGAGACUUUUGUUGCUCCAAAGCGGAAAAGAACUCAUGCAACAAACAACAAAUGGGCUGAAAAGAAGACCAGAAAAGUUGAGUUGGGGUGGAUUCAUGAAGGUAAACAAGUAAGAAAACGCAGAGGAGGGGGAACAAGGACCCUUGAUAUACCCAAAGAAUCAAAAAAAGCUGACAUAUUACAGUGCGCUAAAGACCUUUUCUUCCCAAACGGGAAAAGUAAAUUUGGAAGAUUUGAGACAUUCAGUCAUGACAUAUUAGACUAUCAGGAGGAAGCUGUGUUUGAUGAAGAUAUCACAGUUGGGGAACUGUACACGGUACUUAGAAUGGGAGUGUUAAGAUUUUACCUGUGCACCAAGAGCCUGACAGAUGAGGAUGGUGAUACAUCUGAUUUAAACAAUGAUGAACAAUUGAGAGACACACAUGAAGAAGAUGAACAAUUUACUCAAACUGUUGUCAUAUUGUCAAAAGAUUUAAAGGAUGUUGAUGUAGAUGCAUUAUCAGACACAUCUGAGGUGAUGUUUGGCCCCUUCCUUGGAGAACUCAUGACUAGUCAGAUGGAGGACACUUUGAUAUAGCAACCCAGCCUACAGUUUGAAGGAGAUGAGCUGGUCAUCACGCUUCCCCCAACAAGCACAGCACCCGUUACUCCAGACACAACAUCUGUUGGUGAUGAGUCAAGGACUUCUACUGCUUCAUAUGAUGUUGUGUGUGUCACAAUAAAGCUUCACAGGGUCAAUCUUCUGGAGGAGAUGAUUAACCAGUUCAAGGAUCCAGCACUCCUCAAACACCCCCUAAAAUACACCUACAUAGAUGAAAAAGAAGCUGACGCAGAUGGUGUCUCAAGGGAUGUGUAUGUUACAUUUUGGUUUGGCUGGUUUGGAGUUUAUGGACCACACAGCUGAAGGGGAGGACCUGAGGGUUCCAUCACUGUCUCCUAAAUGGCAGGAAGAAGAGUGGAAAUCCAUUGGCCGAAUUCUACUCAAGGGAUUUCAAGAUCAUGGAAACUUUCCGUGUCGGCUUGCCCCUGUUUUCACAGUGGCACUUAUUUUUGGUGAGAAAGAAGUCUCAGAUGAUAUGCUGUUUGAAAAUCUUCUCCUGUACAUAAAUCAGUCAGAUAGGGAUCUGAUUACCACUGCCUUAAAAGAAGAUCUUUUAGAUGAGGACAGGGAUGAACUACUUGAUCUUUUGGACCGCUUGGAUGUAACAGUACUUCCAACUCGAGACUUGAUCCAAAAACCAAGAUAUGCAGCAGAAAAAAUGUCAUUAAUUGCUAGCCCCUUCCUAAAAGAAGCAUCUGUGAGCCCACAGCAUGUCCUGCGAAUGUAUGAAGAUAAAAAGCCAACAACAAGGAAGCUUUUGAAGUUGCUGGAUGCAUCUCCUGCAACGCAAGCAGAGAACCAGAGCUUUCAUUUUCUGCAACAGUACAUCAGAGGACUGGAUGAUGCAGGACUGAGAAGGAUGUUAAGGUUUGUCACAGGGUCAGAUAUUAUCUGUGUCAACAAGAUUGAGGUCCUGUUCACACCAGUAGAUGGUCUGGCACGGCGACCAGUAGCACACACUUAUGGGCCAGCUCUGGAACUGCCAUGGACAUACACUUCCUACCCAGAACUACGCACUGAAAUGGACAGUAUACUGGUCGCUAAAAGUUCCGCAUAGCUUAGGUCAAUUUCAUUUUUUCAGGGCCAAGCCUAUUAAUGAAGAGGGCUGAUGAAUCCAUUAUAUGUGAAUGGUUAGAUCCAUUCAGCACAUACACACAAGGCAAAGCAUAGUAACAUGAAAAAGAAAAGGAGUUGCAUUUGGAGUGAAUAUACAUGUCUGCCAUCAAGGAACUAAAGGAUUCCAAUACUGAAUGUUUCAAUGACAAAGACAGAGGGCUUUUUAAAAUAAGAAGUUGAGAUGUUUUGAACAAUAGUAAAAUAUGUAAUCAACAAUGCUGCGUUUGCAGUAUCGUUUGAGGGUACUGUUAGACCUCAUUUCUAAGUUUUAACUGUCAGAGUAAUAUUUGCUAAGUACAUUGGAAACAAUAAAGUACCUGUCUGUGCUUGAUAGCUGGACGUGCACGUAAUGUUUAGAAAUGUAGAAAUACACACAGCUUUUUAUUAUCGUUUGUUCUAUACAGGUAUGUUCCUUUUUAAAGCUGUGUGUGUGUGCGUGUGUGCUGGUGAGUUGAGGGAGUGAGUGAUUGGGUUGAUUAUGUACUGCUAUUGCUUUUUGUUUUCUUAACUUGCUUUUGUCAAGUUUAGCUACACCAGUUGUACUGACCUAAACAGCAGUCUAUAGUUUCGGACAUCAAAUUUUAUUUGCUGCUGUUUGUUCAAAGCAGGCAUGUUCUUUUUUUGUUUUUUAAAAGCUGUUUCUGUUACCUGUUGAUGAGUUCCCACAGAAAGCAGUGAGUACAAGAUCUGAUGUGUGUGUGAGAGAGAGAGAGAGAGAGAGAGAGAGAGAAUGAGUGUGUGGGUUGGUGAGGGCCGAUGAUUUGUAUUUGUACUGCUGUAUUUUUUGUACUUGUUUUUAACAAGUUUUAGUAAGAGUAAUUGCACUGACCUUAACAGAAACCUAUGGUUUUAGACUUGAGUUUUUGGGUAGACACAUCACUUUGUGACGUUGCUGUGCUGCUCUGCAUGUUGUUACUACAUAAAUACAAAAGUAAAUGCACAGUUGCACCUUUCAACCUGAAUAUUCACUUUAGGUCAUUUUCUGGCAGAUGUUUGUUUCCUCCUAUGUUUUAUUAUUAUGUAUAUCCAUAGGGGGUGGAGCUUGAGCCAUUAAAGCAUAUCAAGAAUCAAUACCUCUUGCUUUUGUUCUCUAUAAAUGAAAUAAUUAAAAAAGAAGUUACUUGA